CCUGUGGGUGGGCUGUGGGCCUGCGUGCUGCUUGUCAGGAUUUCUGCAGGAAGCAACUUCAGGGGUGCAAAGCACUGCCGUUCAUCUCAGUGUGUGUUGCAUCAGAAACUUGAUGAUAUCACUGUAUGCAACAUCUCGUCCAUCGCUCUUUUUGUUAUUAUUUGUUAUAGCUACCUUUAAAAAGCUCAGCCUUGAUUCCAAGGCCACCCUUUAUAGCAGGAAUACUCUGUAAGUCAGCAACCAAACUCUGAAAAAAUAGAUGACUGUUUUCUCAUUGCUUCCUACAAUAAUGCUCAUUCCUGUCCCAGUCAGCAACCUCCGAAUUCCCUUCCCCACACACACACAAAUUGUUCAAACUAUUUACCAGUCAGCUUUCAUCAAUGUAAUUGCUUUCCUAUGGAAAUGUUCACACCCUGAAGUGCUGUUCCCAAGUUUUAUAGCACACAGAACAUUCUCAUUUUCCCUGUUGUCAGGUAAUUUCUUCUUGCUCUAAGCCCAUUCUCAUUAUAGUUAAUACUGUUAGCAAUACAUACACUGGGGGAUUUAGACAAGGGAAACACACCAAGGUAGUACUGUAUAGACAGAUAGAUUUAAUAAUGGGAAUUUGCACUCACAUAAAAGAUCAGAACAACAGUGAAGAUGUGGAGGUUGUUCAGAUGCAUUUUUUAUUGAACUGUACUAAUUCAGAAUUCCUCGGGGUCUCCCAGGCACUGCUAACAUAGCAUCUAUCCUUACAGUUACAGCUUAUAACCCCACAUGCACUGGUGAGAGAGAGCUCAAACUUCCAUAUCACACAGGGGGGCAUCAAGAGGUGGCGAGGACAGGAUUUUGCAGUGCUUAGUUUUGGCCUAGUGCUAGCAGGCAGAUGCCUUGUAUCAUAGGACAAGUGUUGCUACAAAGGUCUUCUUGCCAUUCUUUGCUUGAAAGGCUGCUGUUACAGGAACUUGCUUAGGUUGGGAGGUAGAAGAAAGCUCCUUCACGUCUGAAGAUACUCUAUAUAGUAAAAUUCACUUUCUGCUGCCUGGCGAGAUUACCUGCAUCUCUGAACUGAGGAUCUGGCUCAUUCCAGCUGUAAAGGGGCCCACUACUGCCAGCAGGACAUGGAUGAGACCCCAGCCCAUGCUGCAGGAGUGCCCUCAGCACCACCUUCUGAUAUUCAGAUUCUCUUCUAACCUUACAAUACACAUAGCGCUGUGGGGGCCUGCAUGCAGCUUUGUAAUUUCCAUAGGGAGAUCAGCUUCAUUUAGCAUUGUAGUUUAAUUUGGAAACAAUAUGCAAGCAAUCUUGACCUCUUGCUUGGCUGUAUCACCUUGAUACAAGGUGAAACUGGAAAUAUAAAUAGUUACACACAGCAGAAAGCAACUUGGUUAUGUAAAAUGAAGAAAACACAACACACCACUACCACCCCCAGAAGAACAGUUGUAGCAGAAAUGCUAAGUCCAGGCCUGAAAAAGUGAUUGAGCACCUGGUGGGAAGGCAGGGCCAACCAGGGGAGCUCAGGUGCAAGCAAUGCAGCUGACUGCAAGAGGUGGAGCCAGAAUGCGCCUCUUACCAGACCUUAUUUAAGGGUUGGCAGUGGAGGUGAGGGUAUCUUGCUGGAGAUCUCUGCUACCUGAGGAUCUUUUGGGCCUUCUGAAGGUGGCGGCUUAGCACCACAGGAUAUCCAUAUUCUGUAGUGUGCUCUUGUGAAGUUGCCGCUGCUGAGGACUUAAGCGACUGCUGGCUGUGAUGGACGGGUUUCUGCUGGGCAUGUGGCUGAGUGCAGCUUGUGUUGCUUGGCCACCGUGGCCUCCUGAAGUUGUGAGGGUCUUCCAGCAGAGCAGUAGUUGACUGACAGGGAGAGCUUUUGACAGAUGUUUAUUGGUGACCUGAUAGGUCAGCUAGUGGUCCACAAAUGCUUCUGCAAAGGAAAGCAGUGUUUGUGGUUGGUUCCUUUUCACCAGCCUACUCUGUUGUGAGAGGAGCCUCUGCCAGCUGUGUUAAGUGAGAUGACUAAUAUCUGCCACAUACUCAUUAAACACUGUAUUUUUGAUA
Long non-coding RNA from Lagopus muta (rock ptarmigan), 2034 nucleotides. RefSeq lists it as uncharacterized. The transcript is spliced from 2 exons. The record is from RefSeq and is a predicted model, not a curated record. NCBI's taxonomy places the organism in Eukaryota, Metazoa, Chordata, Aves, Galliformes, Phasianidae.